Long non-coding RNA from Anolis carolinensis (green anole), 2431 nucleotides. RefSeq lists it as uncharacterized. NCBI's taxonomy places the organism in Eukaryota, Metazoa, Chordata, Lepidosauria, Squamata, Anolidae. The record is from RefSeq and is a predicted model, not a curated record. The transcript is spliced from 3 exons.
CAACAACUCCAAGUCAGUCAUGUGAAAAUCAUCUUAUCCUUUUCUCUCCCCUCCUCCUCAUAUCUUUUUGGAAAGAAACACCGGGAGUUGCUUUUGUGAUUGAUUUCAUAUGGUUUUAUUCUGGUUUGUUUUAACUUAGCACCAGGAAAACUACAGUCCAUCAGAUUUUCAAUAAUUGUUUGUGACGGGAUUUUAAUGGCAUGCUGUUUUGUUGAUUUGCUAAUAUCUAUAUUUUAAUGAAUUUAAAAUGUUAUUAAAUUCGAUUUUUUAAAUUUUUCUGAAAAUAACAAGUACAGAUUUUUAAAAGUACUAUCCCAGAAGACUGGAGAGCAUCAAAUGAGAUACCACACAUUCUCUGUUACAUACAGAACCCCUUUUGUCUCAAUUUUAUUCUUCAACAUUUCAAUAUUUUUAAUAUUACUAAAAUUGUCUUUCUAAAAUUUGUUUAUGAGAUUUGUGAAGGUGUGUUAUAUUUUUAAGAAACAGUAUCACCAACAGAAUUGUGAGCAGAGACAGAAAAGAAGUUUGGUGUUUGUUUGUCAGAAUUAUCAGUCUUUGAAACAAACAACACUUUCAUCUAGAGUUGGGAGAUAAAUUUCACUUAAAAAGAAGUUCACAACAACAACAACAACAACAACAACAACAACAACAACUUAUUUGUUACUUGCCUCUCAUGGCUUAAGACGGAAUACCAUAUAGUUUUUUUUUUUUCGUGUCAGGAGCAACCGAAGUUGCUUCUAGAGUGAGAGAAUUGGCCGUCUGCAAGGACGUUGCCCAGGGGAUGCCCAGAUGUUUUGAUGUUUUUACGAUCCUUGUGGGAGGCUUCUCUCAUGUCCCCGCAUGGAGCUGGAGCUGAUAGAGGGAGCUCAUCCGCACUCUCCCCAGGUGGGAUUUGAACCUGGCAACUUUCAGGUCAGCAACCCAACCUUCAAGUCACUUAGCCCACUACACCAUCUGGGGGCUCACCAUAUAGUUAAAACACACAGAUAACAUAUAAUACUAUACAAUCAAUAUUAAUAAAAUGUAGAGUUACAGCUUGUAACAUUGGCUUUUUUACAAAAUGAAAAUGUUCAGUUUAUGCAUACUUUAAAAAAGAAGUCUCAUUACCAUAGCUUUCCCCCAGUUUUGUGCUGUAUAUGUGAUUGUGGCAUGUGGUUAGAAAUUAAGACAAAAUCAGAAUUGAUAUGCAUUCAUAAAGGAGCUGGAGUUACCCCAUAUUUUUUAUUGCCUUUUUAGCAGUUUGUCAUUACAUUUAUUUCACUGAAUAAGGAUAAACAAGCAAGAAGACUGUACUAUUUCCUAUUGUAAGAGGACACAUACAGGAAAGAGUUAAAUAAAACUGAUGAUUUUUGCAGUACUACCACCAUCUUUUUAAAAGUUAAACUUGAUUUUGCAAAGCCGCAUUUUAUGCUGUUUGAGCAUUGAGUAACUCAGCUUCAUGUCUCAAUUAUUUAAUUCCAAGUCUACAGAGGGACUCUUAAAAUAACAGCUUCAUGGGCCCUACGCCAAGAUUCAGGUAUUUUUUUGGAUCCAUACACAAUGGAAGGAUGGAUGGAAAAGCUGCCAACAGAGAAAGUUACACUGCUGGCUCCAAAGCAGCUUGGGGGAAGACUCCCUGUGUUGUCCCAUUGGCACUGUUGUCCCCAUCAUCCUUUUAUUUGUGCCACUGUUUACAUUACCACCCUCACCACCAAUACUGGUAUAGAAUUAGAAAGUUGGAAGAGGUGUUAUAGGCCACCAGGUUCAACCUUCAGCUCAGCAAAGGAUUUCCAGUUAGAAAAUCCCAGCAGGUAGCUUUCCAGCCCCUUUCUGAAGACAUCCAAAGAAGAAGAUCUCACUACCUCUCUAGGCUGCAGACAAGCAGGCACAUGUGCUUUAAGGAGCUUCAUAUCUUCUACUCUAGAGGAGAGCUGCUUGGCUGCAGGAAGGUGCACACUUGAAGGAGGCUUCUUGUUUAGAGCUUUUUUCUACUCUAGAGGAGAGGUGCUCAGCUGCAGGCAGGCAUGCUUGCAUUAAGGAGGCUUGCCAGGUAAAGCUUCUGCAGGGCCAACAAAUUUUUGUUUGUGAGAGAUAACAGUUGGAUGUGGUGUUUUGUUCAGAUCAAUGUGGUCUUGAGUAGACUUGUGUAUUUCUAUAAAAUUGCUACACAUUUCUGUUUGUUCCAUUUGUAUGGCCCCAUUUACGUGUCUGUCUGCUGCUUACAAAACCAGCACCCAUCCAAAUGAGAUCUUUCAUUUCACAAUCAGAAUAUUGAAAUGCAUUCAUCCCAUUGGUGGCAUUGGGCGGGCUGCCCAGGCUCUCCUUCCACUCAGUUUUAGGGCUAGAGAAUCACCACGCAUGGAGGGAAUAUCUACCACUUUUAGCCCUCCAACUCUUACAAGGUUUGGGUCCUCCCUCGAAUUUUAGAAAUUUUUUCUUUCUAUAAAUAAAA